Spinacia oleracea (spinach) is the source of this 411-nucleotide long non-coding RNA. RefSeq lists it as uncharacterized. The transcript is spliced from 5 exons. The record is from RefSeq and is a predicted model, not a curated record. Lineage: Eukaryota; Viridiplantae; Streptophyta; Magnoliopsida; Caryophyllales; Amaranthaceae.
CAAGCUUCUAUGAUCAUUCACCACAAGGACCUCACACAAAUUUAGUUUGAUUCAUAUAUUUUCUUCUUCUUUGUCACUAUCAGAUUUCAUGUAUUCGAUGUUGAUACCACACAUCACAAUGUACCAGUGAAGACAAUCAAGUUAUCGGAUCAGGAUUUUCUUGGAGAAGCUAGCUGUGUGUUAUCAGAGCAAACUUCAAACAUCAGUUUCAGCCUUAGAAAAUAUGCACAGAGACAAGACUGGCAUCAGCUUUGUUAAGCAACACCAUGGUCGUGAAAAGCUUCAAAUGGAAAUCCUAGAAGUCCAGAAUCUUUGCACUAUAUUGACCCCUCUGGCAGAUUGAACGCAUAUCAGCAAGUCUAUACUACAGGAAUGCGCCUUAUGCUAGUGAGGAAAUUGAUGUGGUUCGUG